This 253-nucleotide ribosomal RNA is filed under the name uncultured bacterium. Its description in RNAcentral is "partial 16S ribosomal RNA". It matches the Rfam family "Bacterial small subunit ribosomal RNA", at positions 524 to 776 of the family's 1533-position model. The record is from RNAcentral.
GACAGAGGCCUCGAGCGUUAGGCGGAAUCACUGGGCUUAAAGCGUGUGUAGGCGGAUCGUUAAGUGUCUUGUGAAAUCCCACGGCUCACCCGUGGAACUGCUGGGCAUACUGGCGAUCUUGGGCCAACUAGGGGCAACUGGAACAAGCGGUGGAGCGGUGAAAUGCGUAGAUAUCGCUUGGAACGCCGAAGGUGAAAACAGGUUGCUGGGGUUGUGCCGACGCUGAGACACGAAAGCCAGGGGAGCAAACGGG